AUGGAGACUUCAUGCAAGUUUCUGCCCAGGGUCACUAUCUAGUGAAACUGAAAGGUUUCCACAUGGAAGCACCUGACCGCCACCGCCCAGUUCAGUCUUUCAGCAACAGUUUCCUAGUAGCUCCUGGUAAUUGAGGGAAACUGACCAGGACCGCUCUUUGGCAUUCUCUGAAGACCAAGAAGCAAACAGGGAUAGAUGCCCUGCCUGGAAGGGGAAAAGACUCUUUUCUAUCCUUUCUGGUUAUACUCCCAGAACUCUACGUGUGACACAGUUGGAUGUGGCAGCUCAUCCAGGGCGAAUUCACACACGUUUCAGAGACCAUCAAGCUUCAGAUAAUCAAGCAACAAGGUUUCCAGCCAGCUCCAGGUGAAGGCACCACCCCACCGCCAUCAAGAAGCACCCUGUCUCCACUAGACAGAGUGGGCUGAGAGUUCCGGGAUCUCCAACAGUUGUAUAAAGACCAAAUGAUAUCUUCUUCCAAAAAGAAUGAGAAGCUGAUAGCUACUAAUGGAACAGAAGACUCAAGAAGAAAGUUGGAAGUGGAAGACACUAAUUAAAGGAGGAUCCAGUUUCACUUGCACUUAGAUGUAGAAAGCCACAAAAUAAUGUGGCUUUCACAUAAACAGGAACAAAGCUGGACAAUCAAUAAAAUCAUGAUUUGCCUUGAGCUCAGCAGCGAGCUAAGGUAGCAAGGCAAACAAGUGCACUAAAUUUCAGAUGACAGGCCACUCUGAGAAGAGAUCAGGUGCAUGAAUGGCUUUACCUUUGGCAAGGCACAGCAUGAAAACGCAACCACCUUAUGGGAGGGUAAAAAGAAAACAUCAAAUUUUAACAAAUCCUUAAAGGCCACGGGUGGGUGAAAGCAAUGGUUUAGACUCCUGGUUCAUCCCAACACUAGAAAGUCAGCACUGCCUCACACGCUCUUUGUACCCCACUCUCAGUAGUCCACAGACACACAAAGCCCCAUCUGCUCACAUUUCUUGAAGAGAGACCAUUCUUGAAAUGGGAACCAAGGGCUUUGGGUCCCUGGGUGAGGGACCAAAAUAAGUCCUCUUGCCUCCAGAGCUCAGGCAAGAAUUCCUUGCCUCUGGUCAUAGAUAGAAUCCAGUAUCACUGGGAGGGUGUGGAGAACCCUUCCUUCCUCCCUCAUUCCCAGGCAAAGAUAAACUCUGAAGAGAUUUCUCAAAAACCUCCGUAUUUCCACGAUAAACCUUGCACAGAGUAACAAGUGUUAGCAACCUACCACUGGGGUUGGGGUGGGGAUAAACAGGGCAAUUCACAUGUCCGUGAUCUCCAGUAAAAGCACAAUGCUACUGAGGGAAGAGUAGAGCAAUAGCUAGCUGACACUAGGGAAGGGACAGGAAACCCCCUGGGGUCCAGCCUUCUGUACUGACAGAAAACAGAGGUUAGCUACCACUGGAGGAGGAGGAUGAAACUCUCUCCUGCCCCAAGUGCUUCAUAGAUAGUAGGGUUUGGCUACCACAUGGGCACAGGAAUGUUGAAAAAAAAAAAAAACACUUCUGAGACCCAGGUACCCAGGAUCUAGCCAAGUGAGGCUGGACCAAGACAACUAAGAGUCCCCAUCCACUCCCAUCUUUAGCCUUCCACCAAAUAACCAACAAUAGCAGUAUACAGUAUAAGAAAGAUAAGAGCAUAGCGAGACCCUUUAGUGGUUCAAGCAGUCAGGGCUUCUUAAAUCUGAGAAAACAUGGAGAAAAAUACUCUAGCACCUUAGGAUUUACAAUCAGUACAUUGUAGCAGUAGUCUACCAUUAGAGGGGUUUUGAUAUGGUUUGGCCGUGUCUCCACCGAAAUCUCAUCUUGAAUUGUAGCUCCCAUAAUUCCCACGUGUUAUGGGAGUGACCCAGUGAGAGAUAAUUGAGUCAUGGGGGCAGUUUCUGCCACACUGUUCUCAUGAUAGUGAAUAAGUCUCACAAGAUCUGAUGGUUUUAUAAGGGGAAACCUCUUUCACUUGGUUCUCAUUCUGUCUUGUCUGCUGCUGUGUAAGAGGUACCUUUCACCUUCUGCCAUGAUUGUGAGACCUCCUCAGCCACGUGGAACUGUGAGU
This 2067-nucleotide long non-coding RNA is filed under the name Homo sapiens (human). Its description in RNAcentral is "novel transcript". Lineage: Eukaryota; Metazoa; Chordata; Mammalia; Primates; Hominidae. The record is from RNAcentral.